This 494-nucleotide ribosomal RNA is filed under the name uncultured bacterium. RNAcentral's name for it is "partial 16S ribosomal RNA". It matches the Rfam family "Bacterial small subunit ribosomal RNA", at positions 28 to 507 of the family's 1533-position model. The record is from RNAcentral.
GACGAACGCUGGCGGCGUGCUUAACACAUGCAAGUCGAACGGUGAAGCGCCUUCCUUUUUGGUGGGUGUGGAUGAGUGGCGAACGGGUGAGUAACACGUGAGUAACCUGCCCCCUUCUUCUGGAUAACCGCAUGAAAGUGUGGCUAAUACGGGAUAUUCUGGGUCUGUCGCAUGAUGGGUCUGGGAAAGAUAUUGUUUCGGUGGGGGAUGGGCUCGCGGCCUAUCAGCUUGUUGGUAGGGUGAUGGCCUACCAAGGCGGUGACGGGUAGCCGGCCUGAGAGGGUGGACGGUCACACUGGGACUGAGACACGGCCCAGACUCCUACGGGAGGCAGCAGUGGGGAAUAUUGCACAAUGGGCGCAAGCCUGAUGCAGCGACGCCGCGUGAGGGAUGGAGGCCUUCGGGUUGUGAACCUCUUUCGCCAGUGAAGCAGGCCUGCCUCGUUUGUGGGUGGGUUGACGGUAGCUGGAUAAGAAGCGCCGGCUAACUACGUG